RNAcentral lists this long non-coding RNA (2356 nucleotides) under Mus musculus (house mouse). RNAcentral's name for it is "long non-coding RNA chr1:107590012-107592368". The record is from RNAcentral. Lineage: Eukaryota; Metazoa; Chordata; Mammalia; Rodentia; Muridae.
AUGUUCUGAGUCACCCGACAGGCGCCUUGCCCCGAUCAGGAGGAUCAGGACAGACUUUAAGUAUCCACAAAGCAAGAAUAGCAGCAGGAUCAGCCACAGCAGCAGGUAUCUUCAAGGUGAAGCUGUGGGAGAGGCUCUCAAACCUCUCAGACCCCGGGGGCCUAGGAUAGAUACUGGCACUGAAGAACCUGGACAGAAGCCAAGAAGGAGAAAGGCCAGGAUCUCACCAAAGUUAAAGAGCCCAGGAGUUAGCAGAGGACUCCAGUGACAGAGAGGUAAGAAGUGCGGUUGGGCUGUUAGGGGUCAGGUGUGUCUCAGCAAAGCUGACAGAAGGCAUGGGCACCCUGAGUUGCAAACCUGCUGUCGGCUUCUAGUGAUUGGCUGGGCGCCUGACACUUGCUAUUUCAAGCCCUGGGCUUUCAUUUCCUUUAGGGAGCGCUGGAGCUUUUUCUAACUGCGACUGGGAGAAGCCAAGGGUACAAAAAUAAGGCUAGGGAGCAACCUGCAACAUGUCCGGAAUUUACCUGGAGCCUCACACUUGUUUGCAGUGCUGGCUCCUUCGGGGCAGAAAUACAAGUCCUCUCCACUGUGCAGCUUAAAGCCUUCUUUAUUUCCUGUCUCUGACCUCUCUCUCCCACCCACCUAUCCACUCCACUAGCCACUCCCCUCCUUUUUAAAGUUCUUUUAUCUUUUGUUUAUUAAUUACUUCUUGUCAACUUGAAACAGUUCUUUUUUACCUACAAUCCUUUAACUUGUGUAAUGGUUGCUCUUCAGCUAAAUUCCCCACUUUCCAGUUUUCAGGCACCCGCCCUACAGCUCUGCACCUUAGGUCCAGACUUCUUCCCAAGGGCUCUCUUUCUCAUAUCAUGGGCUCCUAAUCUAGGCUGUGUAUCUGUGGAACACACAGUUAUAUCCUCCGGCUUCUCCCAAUAACUCCUUGAUCCCGAGGUCAUGAUUUUGGUUUUAUUUGUGUUUUCUCUCUCUUCCUUUUACAUGGACAGCACCUAGAGUAAGGUGGGCUUCUCUUACAGUACCUCCACCAUUCAUAGGAUCUAAACCAUUUCAUCUGUUAGCUUAGGUUGUCUUGGAUUCCAGAUCCCCAGGGCCCCUAACUCUUGCUUUGGAAUGUCUGCUCAUCUCUAGCCCUACCUUUAUUUCCAAACUACACUGGCUGUCACCUUACAGCCUCAGAUGACCUGGUGUGUCUCACACAUCUCAAAUGGAAUGCAUCACCUUCCCCAUUCCAAGCCAAUUCUUCAUAGGAACUUGCUAAGAUUCUUGACCCAAUCUAAGUAAACAUUUAGCAUGGAACUUUAUUUUUGAUUCUGGACUCCUCCCUUCUUUGUAAUGUGCAGCCAUCACUCUGUCUGACAAUUCCUACUUCUCCAGGGUUUCAUCUGUAUCAACACUCACUGGUCCAUCAUGGUGGCCUACCAAAAGACUCUCCAGCCCCUUUCCACACACAAUAGUGAGCUGUGUCAUUUUCUUCAAGCCCAAGAGCUACAUGUAACAUGCUUGGUAGAAAAACUCUAUAUGGCUUCCAGCUCCCAGUCUAUGCUUAUACUCACAAAUUCAGCAAAAGAGACUCAUCUCCCCCUUGUGUCUCACAGGAUCCCACAUAGAUCACACCCCUAAAUACCAUACAGAUGUGAUCUGCUGCAUUCUUUUUUGUACCUGCCAAUUUCUCAGCCUGAAGUUUUGCUUUUUUACCACCUUCAGAAUUCCCACUCAGGUUGUCAGAGUCAGCUUCUUUGGGAAGACAGCAUGUUUCAGUGUACUUUUUCAAGAAUGUUAACAAAGCAAAAAAUGAUUCAAGGAAGGUUGGUUGAGUUCAGAAAAACAUGUAAAUAAACACCAGCAAGCACAAAAUAAGUAUUAAUAGAGCAGUCCUGAAAGGAACCUCAAAGUUGGCAACAGGUACCCCAAGACAAAAUUUUCAGCACAAAGGAUAUUUACUUGCCUCAGAGGGACAAAGGACAAGGAAUAAGGGAUAAAGGCAGGAGACAGAAGAUAGAGGACAAGGGGGAAGAGGAAGGGAACAAGGGAGAGGGGAAAGAAUAUUUUCCCUAAAUAGACAAAGUAUAACCUCUGUAUAGAGAAGAGACAGAUGUAGUCCAUAGACAAAUAGUGAUCUAUAAAGGUACAAAGGAAAACCUCAUUUUUAGAUGGAUCACGUGUGAGCCAAAAGGAGGCUUUUGAUUGCUGGACUUCAAUACAUUGAUAUAUAGACCUUGGUGGGCAGCCUCGGGAGAAACAAGUGACCAAAUAAGGGACUAGACUUUGGUGGCUAGCUAAAUGAAUAUAAUCUAAAGGUUUUUAGCAAAGCAGAGAGAAUGGGGGGAGGUCAAGGUCUGCC